CCUACGGGCGGCAGCAGUGGGGAAUAUUGCACAAUGGGCGCAAGCCUGAUGCAGCCAUGCCGCGUGUGUGAAGAAGGCCUUCGGGUUGUAAAGCACUUUCAGCGGGGAGGAAGGCGGUGAGGUUAAUAACCUCAUCGGUUGACGUUACCCGCAGAAGAAGCACCGGCUAACUCCGUGCCAGCAGCCGCGGUAAUACGGAGGGUGCAAGCGUUAAUCGGAAUUACUGGGCGUAAAGCGCACGCAGGCGGUCUGUCAAGUCGGAUGUGAAAUCCCCGGGCUCAACCUGGGAACUGCAUUCGAAACUGGCAGGCUAGAGUCUUGUAGAGGGGGGUAGAAUUCCAGGUGUAGCGGUGAAAUGCGUAGAGAUCUGGAGGAAUACCGGUGGCGAAGGCGGCCCCCUGGACAAAGACUGACGCUCAGGUGCGAAAGCGUGGGGAGCAAACAGGAUUAGAUACCCGAGUAGUC
Molecule: ribosomal RNA, 465 nt
Filed under: uncultured Klebsiella sp.
Lineage: Bacteria; Pseudomonadati; Pseudomonadota; Gammaproteobacteria; Enterobacterales; Enterobacteriaceae
Description: bacterial SSU rRNA
Rfam family: Bacterial small subunit ribosomal RNA
Source: RNAcentral